GUGCCAGCCGCCGCGGUAAUACGGAGGGUGCAAGCGUUGUCCGGAUUUAUUGGGUUUAAAGGGUGCGUAGGCGGCUUAUUAAGUCAGUGGUGAAAGCCAACAGCUCAACUGUUGAACUGCCAUUGAUACUGAUAAGCUUGAGUACAGACGAGGUAGGCGGAAUUGAUGGUGUAGCGGUGAAAUGCAUAGAUACCAUCAAGAACACCGAUUGCGUAGGCAGCUUACUAGGCUGUAACUGACGCUGAGGCACGAAAGCGUGGGGAGCGAACAGGAUUAGAUACCCCAGUAGUCC
Molecule: ribosomal RNA, 292 nt
Filed under: uncultured bacterium
Lineage: Bacteria
Description: partial 16S ribosomal RNA
Rfam family: Bacterial small subunit ribosomal RNA
Source: RNAcentral